CCGAUAGCUCGCAGUGUACACAAAUUCGCGGCUUAUUAGUGGGCGCGUUCAGGUUUGUCGCGUCGCGUCGCUCCGCUCGUUUACUGUAGACGGAGGAGGUGUUGGAUGUGAAACUCUCACUCCUCUCCCCCUCCGACUGUCACCGACAAACAACGUGGGACGGAGGAAUUUGUUAUACUACACCACAGAGACUUUUGCACUGCUUUUUAUACACCGCCGCGUCACAAGUAAAUCUCGCGUUUCGCGGAGCUGGAAAAUAUGUGUAAAGUACUGACAGCGGUCAAAUAAACUUUGCGCUAUCACCCGCGGUUGAGUACUCACAAAUGUCAUGCACUGUUCAAGAGCCUUUGCCUUCCGUGACAUUCAGCGGACUUUAUAACAACCAACAUGAAGCAGACAGGUACACUUAGAACGCGUUGCCUGUCCUAAAGGACUUUUAAACUGGUUGAAGUCGUUGUAAACAUGGAAGAGACAGGCGCUGGGAACGGUACUGGGACGCAGGGCUGUGAACUGGAGCGUUCUGGAGACGGAGGACUGGAUGAGGUGCAGAUGCAUCUCGCCUGCUUACCGGAGCGAUACAUGAGAGCGAAGUUCUCCCUCUCAGCGUACAUAUUUUGUUGGACAGUAGUAAAGUUGUGUCAGAGAUUAAGACCGUCGCCAGUUCUUCCCCAGGGUUUGAUGUAAUCAUCAUCGAGGAGCAAGCAUGCACCAUCAGGACAUACUGUACUGUACUUCUCCUCACAUGCUGCCAGCAGCUUAUCUGCCUUCACCGCUGUAGAGGCUGUGCCUUAACUUGUCGGAUGUUGCUAAGGAGUUGUGCAAUGCAUUGAAGUCUAGUGUCUGCAGAUGGUUGGUGCACUUUCCUGACACCAUGAACAGAAGAUUUGCAGUGUGUUGUGUUGCUCUGAUCAGGUAUGAACAGGCCAGAAAAUGAGGUUGGUUUUAGCCAGUGUUGCCUCUUAUUUAAUAGAAUGAUUAGUCGUGAUAGUUUACCAC
RNAcentral lists this long non-coding RNA (996 nucleotides) under Sinocyclocheilus grahami. RNAcentral's name for it is "lncRNA (ENSSGRG00000021658.1)". Lineage: Eukaryota; Metazoa; Chordata; Actinopteri; Cypriniformes; Cyprinidae. The record is from RNAcentral.